This is a small nuclear RNA of Dipodomys spectabilis (banner-tailed kangaroo rat), 111 nucleotides long. The record is from RefSeq and is a predicted model, not a curated record. NCBI's taxonomy places the organism in Eukaryota, Metazoa, Chordata, Mammalia, Rodentia, Heteromyidae.
UUCUGUGCUCAAUUCAGCAGGAAAUACACUAACAUUGGAACAAUACAGAGAAGAUUAGAAUGGCCCCUGUGCAAGGAUGACAUGCAAAUUCUUGAAGUGUUCCAUAUUUUU